AGAGUGAACGCUGGCGGUAGGCCUAACACAUGCAAGUCGAACGGCAGCACAGUGGUAGCAAUACCAUGGGUGGCGAGUGGCGGACGGGUGAGGAAUACAUCGGAAUCUACCUUUUCGUGGGGGAUAACGUAGGGAAACUUACGCUAAUACCGCAUACGCCCUUCGGGGGAAAGCCGGGGAUCGCAAGACCUGGCGCGGAUAGAUGAGCCGAUGUCGGAUUAGCUAGUUGGUGAGGUAAUGGCUCACCAAGGCGACGAUCCGUAGCUGGUCUGAGAGGAUGAUCAGCCACACUGGAACUGAGACGACGGUCCAAGACUCCGUACGGGAGCAGCAGGUGGGAAUAGUUAGGACAAGUGGGCGCAACGCCGUAGACUCCAGACCAGUACCGGCGGU
Molecule: ribosomal RNA, 393 nt
Filed under: uncultured soil bacterium
Lineage: Bacteria
Description: bacterial SSU rRNA
Rfam family: Bacterial small subunit ribosomal RNA
Source: RNAcentral